Molecule: long non-coding RNA, 244 nt
Organism: Aedes albopictus (Asian tiger mosquito)
Lineage: Eukaryota; Metazoa; Arthropoda; Insecta; Diptera; Culicidae
Exons: 3
Source: RefSeq, a predicted model, not a curated record
CAUUGUACCACGAACUAUAAGUGAAGGCAACGUGAAUUCCUAUACCAAAAUAAUUUUGAAUAUUCUAAUUAAAAUACUGCAUAUUUGAUUCCUCUGUUUACUAAUCCUAAACAAGUUGAUUGCAGUGAAUGAAGGUUAGAGUUGAAUGAUUCUGCAAUAAUCAGAACAAGUAUCGAUAUAAUAUAAGUGUCCAGUAUAGCUCCGGUAUUCUGCCAAUAAUUCGGGAACAAGAUACGGUCAAGUA